CGUCCGCGACAGGACUCAAACCUGCAAUCUUCUGAUUCUGAAGUCAGACGCCUUAUCCAUUAGGCCAUAGGAC
RNAcentral lists this transfer RNA (73 nucleotides) under Araneus ventricosus. RNAcentral's name for it is "tRNA-Sec". Lineage: Eukaryota; Metazoa; Arthropoda; Arachnida; Araneae; Araneidae. The record is from RNAcentral.